AAAUCUUGGAAAUUCGAAACUAACGUAUUUCUUAGCUCUACCGUACAUUUUUGAAUAGGCGCAAACUUGAAAACGCGCGAGACGUUGGAAGUGGGAAUUUGUAGAGUGGAAGAAUCAGUAUUUGUGAUCUAUUAUUUACAUAGUCACUGUGCCGUUUUCGUAUUGCAUAAUUUUAUUUCGAUCGGGUUCAAUAUUCUGUUUAUACUAAUUAUGGUAGCCAUGCGGUUUGCCUGGCGUUUUGACUGUUAAGUUUGGUGAUGUUGGCCACCCUAAGGAUUUUUCACCCUCUCACGAGGUGUGUCCAAUAAACAGUACAGUCACUGAUCUUUGUCAACUUUUUAAGAAAAUAACAGAAUAUGAAGAAGGAAGACUAUAUAUAGGAUCGAUCUACUUCAUAACUGGAAAAAGAGAAGCAGUUCACAAAUGUUGAUGAGCAGAAGACAAGAAACUCUGGCUGCACAAAAAUCUGAGCACUUGAAAAAGAAAGAAAAAAAGAAAUGAAAAUAUGAAUGAUAUUCAAUCAAAGGAUCCAAAUGAUGAAAUUAUGGAAAUUCCACAUGGAGAGACAAUAAAUAAUUUUGAAUUGACCAUCUCUGCUCGAACUGCUUGAAAGCACUGAAAACUGUUACCCUGGUGCUGAACAAACUUUUCUCCUAGACUGGGAUUAAAAACUGUUCAAUUUCUGGCAUUAAAACACAAUCUGAAACAUGCUGAGGAAGGAUCGCCCUCUCCUUUUGACCAAGUAAGGAUAAGCAUUCUACAAAGAGUUGCAUUUGAAUUGAAAUUUUUUAUACUUUUACCAGGAAUGAACUACAUUACUCAUUUACUUAUAAUGGUUUAAUGUAUCAAAAUUGUCUAUUUUAAGUUUUUUAACAAAGAUUGUGUUGCCAUGGUUGGAAAACAAAGAACAUUUCUGUGAAAUCUUUCAAGAUGCUGUAUUAUAAAUCAUCUACUGUUACUUUUUUAGCAUGACUUCAUGCAUUUUCAUGAAUAAACAUGAAUAAUAAUA
Saccostrea cuccullata (small rock oyster) is the source of this 1009-nucleotide long non-coding RNA. RefSeq lists it as uncharacterized. The record is from RefSeq and is a predicted model, not a curated record. Lineage: Eukaryota; Metazoa; Mollusca; Bivalvia; Ostreida; Ostreidae. The transcript is spliced from 3 exons.